GCUCAAAUUUGAAAUCUUCAAGGUUUUACCUUGACGAAUUGUAGUUUAAAGAAGUGUUUUCUGUUGGUGUUUUGGUAAAAGUUCUUUGGAAUAGGACAUCAUAGAGGGUGAGAAUCCCGUAUUUGACCAUUACUUCCAGCGUUGUGAUACACUUUCAAAGAGUCGGAUUGUUUGGGAAUGCAGUCCAAAAUGGGUGGUAAAUUUCAUCUAAAGCUAAAUAUUGGCGAGAGACCGAUAGCGAACAAGUACCGUGAGGGAAAGAUGAAAAGAACUUUGAAAAGAGAGUUAAACAGUACGUGAAAUUGUCAAAAGGGAAGCGUUUGACACCAGUG
This 332-nucleotide ribosomal RNA is filed under the name uncultured Neocallimastigomycetes. RNAcentral's name for it is "LSU rRNA". It matches the Rfam family "Eukaryotic large subunit ribosomal RNA", at positions 107 to 434 of the family's 3401-position model. The record is from RNAcentral. Lineage: Eukaryota; Fungi; Neocallimastigomycota; Neocallimastigomycetes.